This is a non-coding RNA of Schistocerca nitens (vagrant locust), 83 nucleotides long. The record is from the annotation of a RefSeq genome assembly. NCBI's taxonomy places the organism in Eukaryota, Metazoa, Arthropoda, Insecta, Orthoptera, Acrididae.
GCUCGUGUAGCUCAGUUGGCAGAGCACUUGCCUGUGAGGCAAGUCGGCUGGUCCCGGCGGAGGUUCGAGUCCUCCCUCGGGCA